CGGACGGGUGAGUAACGCGUGAGAAUCUGCCUUCAGGUUGGGGACAACAGUUGGAAACGACUGCUAAUACCCAAUGUGCCGAGAGGUGAAAGCUUUAGUGCCUGAAGAUGAGCUCGCGUCUGAUUAGCUAGUUGGUGGGGUAAUGGCCUACCAAGGCGACGAUCAGUAGCUGGUCUGAGAGGAUGAUCAGCCACACUGGGACUGAGACACGGCCCAGACUCCUACGGGAGGCAGCAGUGCGGAAUUUUCCGCAAUGGGCGCAAGCCUGACGGAGCAAGACCGCGUGAGGGAGGAAGGCUCUUGGGUUGUAAACCUCUUUUAUCAGGGAAGAAGAUCUGACGGUACCUGAUGAAUCAGCAUCGGCUAACUCCGUGCCAGCAGCCGCGGUAAUACGGAGGAUGCAAGCGUUAUCCGGAAUUAUUGGGCGUAAAGCGUCCG
RNAcentral lists this ribosomal RNA (438 nucleotides) under uncultured Pseudanabaena sp. Its description in RNAcentral is "bacterial SSU rRNA". It matches the Rfam family "Bacterial small subunit ribosomal RNA", at positions 99 to 571 of the family's 1533-position model. The record is from RNAcentral. Lineage: Bacteria; Bacillati; Cyanobacteriota; Cyanophyceae; Pseudanabaenales; Pseudanabaenaceae.